Molecule: ribosomal RNA, 166 nt
Filed under: Salmonella enterica subsp. enterica serovar Oranienburg
Lineage: Bacteria; Pseudomonadati; Pseudomonadota; Gammaproteobacteria; Enterobacterales; Enterobacteriaceae
Also listed under: 3 other names
Description: partial 16S ribosomal RNA
Rfam family: Bacterial small subunit ribosomal RNA
Source: RNAcentral
AAAUUGAAGAGUUUGAUCAUGGCUCAGAUUGAACGCUGGCGGCAGGCCUAACACAUGCAAGUCGAACGGUAGCACAGAGAGCUUGCUCUCGGGUGACGAGUGGCGGACGGGUGAGUAAUGUCUGGGAAACUGCCUGAUGGAGGGGGAUAACUACUGGAAACGGUGG